UUAAGACUUGCAGUGAUGUUUAACU
RNAcentral lists this non-coding RNA (25 nucleotides) under Callithrix jacchus (white-tufted-ear marmoset). The record is from RNAcentral. Lineage: Eukaryota; Metazoa; Chordata; Mammalia; Primates; Cebidae. RNAcentral also lists the same sequence under 2 other names.